UGCAAGUCGAACGGUCGUUUCUAUGGAAGCUUGCUUCCACUGAGAAGAUAGUGGCGAACGGGUGGAGUAACAACGUGGGUAACCGUAGCCCACUAAGAGGGGGAGUAACAUCCGGAAACGGGUGCUAAUACCGCAUAGUUUUCUUGAUCGCAUGAUUGAGAAAGGAAAGACGGCCUUUGUGCUGUCGCUUAUGGAUGGACCCGCGGCGUAUUAGUUAGUUGGUGAGGUAACGGCUCACCAAGACGAUGAUACGUAGCCGACCUGAGAGGGUGAUCGGCCACAUUGGGACUGAGACACGGCCCAAACUCCUACGGGAGGCAGCAGUAGGGAAUCUUCCGCAAUGGACGAAAGUCUGACGGAGCAACGCCGCGUGAGUGAAGAAAGGGUUUUCGGAUCGUAAAACUCUGUUGUCAGAGAAGAACAAGUUGGAGAGUAACUGCUCCAGCCUUGACGGUAUCUGACCAGAAAGCCACGGCUAACUACGUGCCAGCCGCAGC
This 497-nucleotide ribosomal RNA is filed under the name uncultured bacterium. Its description in RNAcentral is "bacterial SSU rRNA". It matches the Rfam family "Bacterial small subunit ribosomal RNA", at positions 56 to 518 of the family's 1533-position model. The record is from RNAcentral.